This 498-nucleotide ribosomal RNA is filed under the name uncultured bacterium. Its description in RNAcentral is "partial 16S ribosomal RNA". It matches the Rfam family "Bacterial small subunit ribosomal RNA", at positions 30 to 523 of the family's 1533-position model. The record is from RNAcentral.
AUUGAACGCUGGCGGCAUGCCUUACACAUGCAAGUCGAACGGUAACAGGUCUUCGGAUGCUGACGAGUGGCGAACGGGUGAGUAAUACAUCGGAACGUGCCUAGUAGUGGGGGAUAACUACUCGAAAGAGUGGCUAAUACCGCAUGAGAUCUACGGAUGAAAGCAGGGGAUCGCAAGACCUUGUGCUACUAGAGCGGCCGAUGGCAGAUUAGGUAGUUGGUGGGAUAAAAGCUUACCAAGCCGACGAUCUGUAGCUGGUCUGAGAGGACGAUCAGCCAGACUGGGACUGAGAAACGGCCCAGACUCCUACGGGAGGCAGCAGUGGGGAAUUUUGGACAAUGGGCGCAAGCCUGAUCCAGCAAUGCCGCGUGCAGGAGGAAGGCCUUCGGGUUGUAAACUGCUUUUGUACGGAACGAAAAGCCCCGGGUUAAUACCCUGGGGUCAUGACGGUACCGUAAGAAUAAGCACCGGCUAACUACGUGCCAGCCGCCGCGGUAA